GGUUCAUAACCAAACUGAACAUUUGUCUGCUGCACCACCGACUUUAAGAUUGGGCCUGGUCUGGAAGGUGAACUGACAUACGAGUUUACCUUCCAGACCCUGGUAAGUAGAAGACCACCCUGAUUCUGUUUUUUUCAGCACAUAAUCUUAAAAAAAAUUGUCUGACAACCCAGUUUGCCUCCCUCAGGGCCAUCCAGCACUGGCUGGUAAAUGGACGUAUCAUCAGGGCCCCAAGAGUGCGUUGCUUCUGACCCCUGAAAUCUACAAUGCAACAUUUUACACUACCGACUUUAAGACUGGGUCUGGUCUGGAAGGUCAACUUGCGUACAAGUUGACCUUCCAGACCCUGGUAAGUAGAAUACCACCCUGAUCCUGGGUUUUCUUCAGCACACACUCUUAUAGCUAAAUUAGUUUUUUUCAGUUAAUUAAUGGGAAGGGAAAAUGUAUAACAUUCGCUGCAAAGACCCAAUUUUGUUCUCUGAGUAAUUUGGACCCAAACUAAAAUCGGUUUAGCUUCAGCAUAACAUUUGAAGUCCAUCCACCUCUAUAUCUCUUUCAGUAAUGUCUAAAAGUAAAAGGCUUCUUGCUGUUGGGUAUUAUACCAAAUCUUCAGAUGAAGAGUCCUGCUCAAGUGUCAUCCGUUCUGCUAACUCCUGCUAAUGUAUGUGUUCUCUGAGUGUUGUGUAGCUGCAGCAACAGGUGACCACCAUCCGUAACCAGCUUCAUCCUGCUCCCAGAGUAGUGAUACCCACACCUGAUACACAAAUACCAAUAAGCCAUGGAAAAACCAACAAAGGGCGUGCCUAAUGUCAGAGAUGAACGCUGCUCGGAACACUAAAUCAAAUGCUGACAACCUAGAGGACACACUGGAGACGUGCAUGUGAAAGCUGCCAGAUAGUGAAUCCCACUGCAGUGUAUUCCUAUGCUGAUCUCGGUGUCCUCGGCAAAAGGGGUCAUCUGUAUUACACCUGUGGAUGACACUUCCGGGUUCAUGGCAAGACUGCUUCCAAUGGGGUGUAUCAGCUAUCUGCCUCAAGUUGUGUGUGUGCGUGUCUGUGUGUGUGUAUAUGUAUACUUGUGAGCACCAUGACCAAUCAGCAAAAAUCAAGAAACUGGGACAUUUUGGUGGUCCUAUUCUGCAAUUUGGAAACAUCAAUGAUAAUGUGUGUUGACCAAAAUAUUGAACUUUUUUUUUAUGUAUUGUAGAUAUACACUCACCUAAAGGAUUAUUAGGAACACCAUACUAAUACUGUG
Long non-coding RNA from Esox lucius (northern pike), 1254 nucleotides. RefSeq lists it as uncharacterized. The record is from RefSeq and is a predicted model, not a curated record. The transcript has 3 exons. Lineage: Eukaryota; Metazoa; Chordata; Actinopteri; Esociformes; Esocidae.